Vidua macroura (Pin-tailed whydah) is the source of this 2772-nucleotide long non-coding RNA. RefSeq lists it as uncharacterized. The record is from RefSeq and is a predicted model, not a curated record. Lineage: Eukaryota; Metazoa; Chordata; Aves; Passeriformes; Viduidae. The transcript has 2 exons.
CUCGUUUCCGCUGCCGUGGUCCUGACCGCUUCCCUGGCAGCUGAUGAGCUACAGGAAGUCCGGGCCGGCGUGAGUGACUGCGCCCUGUGGCGGCCUUUCAGCCUAAGGAAGGCGAGGAGGCAAUCCGAAGGAGCAGCGCCCUCCUCUCGCCCCGCUUCUCCUUUCCUCAGCAGGCAGCGAAGGGAGGGGGGUCGUUCUCUGUAGUGUGUCGUACUGCAGUGCACGCUCGCCGCCUCGCCCCCUCUUAUCAUCGGGCAGGCUGGCUUACUCAGUGCUGUGGUGAGUAGAGGGAAAGGCCAUGAGAGAGCUCCGGGAGACCGUGGCCGUCGCUAAAGAACAGCAGCGCGCCUCGCCUGCAUCAGCCGCGGCCGGGCCGCUGGGAGUCGCCGUCCUCGUUUGUGUGCCCAGCUCCCACCGCUUGCACAUGGCAAGAGAGCGUUUCGGAAGAAUUACUGGAUGGGUGCCAGACAAGGUUUUGAGUAAAAAUCGUUUGCAGACAUUGGCAUCUUCGCUUAGACUGGCCUAAACACGACCAGACUUCUGUAAUACCAAAAUUUCAAUACAAGUAGCCGGCAUAAUCCCUAAGGAUAAAAUACAAGUAAAAAGGAAAUUACUGUACCAUCACAUAUAUUGCAGUUUAUACACAAACAGUCAUGAAAAUUGAUGAGAUUCUGCUGUGAGAUAGACUUGGGAUCACACUGGUAGUAAUUUGCUUUCCAACACCUCUGUAGUUAAGUGCAGUGUGUCUUAAGAGUGUAGAGAUAAUUAGAGGAGAUGGCAUUUUGUAUGUUGGAAAUCACCUGGAAAUGAAAAAGCACUGUUAAAAUGAGAAGCAUAGUGGUAAGACUCAAAAACAUGCACCAGACAGAGUUCAAAUGUCUUACUAAAAUAAGCUGGAGUGGAUGUACACAAAGUAAAGAAAAAUGAAUAUGCAAGUGAUUUAAAUCUACUAAAGCAGAUGUAUAACAUAUUUCUUGUGUUUCAUUAGUAUUUUAUAAUUAUCUGUGUGAGGAAAAUCUACACUCUCUCAGUCUUUUCCCUCAUCUAAUUAUACAGUAUAGCCUCACCAUCCUUAUUUUUAACAUCACAUUUAUUUCUGUAGUAAUAGAGGAUGAUCUUACUGGAGGGAGGUGAAGUAAGAAGUUUCUCAUGGGCCAUCUAUAGAAAAGACCAAAGGAAGUACUGACUUAAAACCUUAUUUUUUAUUUGACAUUUAUUCUUGCAGAAGAACUCACCUGCUGAUUUUCUGGGCUUUGUGGAGAAUCAUCAUUAAAAACAUCUUGGGCUGUUUUGGUUUGCCCUAGCUGGUGGGAGGAGUCUUUUAUUCAUUUUUGAUUAGGGGGUUUGUGUAGAGCUUUCUGAAAUGUGGCAUGUCCCAGGUCUUUAUGGGAUCUCUAUUAAUGUAUUGCUUUUAAAGAGAAAAUUUUUUUUCUUCUACAAUGAAGUGUUGAUUUUUUUUUACUGCUAGUCUUCUGAUAUCACAGACUGCACAUUUUUCUUUAAUGAUGCAGUAAAAUGCAUAUCUCCUUGAAAGCAGGCAUGCAUUUUUGUCACUUGAAAGAGCAGUUGUUUACUUGACUGAAAAGCAGUGUACAGUGCAGUUAAAACAGGCAGUGGUACAGGAUGGCACAGUAGCAAUUCUGAGUUCAGCAUUUUUAAUUAAUUCCUAAACAUGUUAUAUACCGUUUCAUUUCAGUAAAUCUUCAAGUAGAAGCCAGAAAAUGAAAGUUAUGUUUGAACUUUUGCUAUGAAAUGGCUGCAGUUACAAAAUAAUCAAUUAGUUAUGAAUAUGUCUUGAUUAAAUUAUUACUGAAGCUAGUAUAAAGCUUGCUCUAUUAAUAAUGAAUUUCUUCUAAAAGUAAGUAAAUGAAUGAAUGAAGUAUCACUGGAUCUUCCUUUGAAUAUUUUUUCACUGUUGUUGUUUUAUACAGUAGUUUAAUAUAGAUCCCUUCUCAUAUGUAAUUGAACUUGCUUAUUUACUGCCUCCCAUUUCUCUGGAAAUCUCUCUAAAGCUGUUUAGCACAAUUAAGGUGUUCCAUGGGUGGACUCUUACCUAGUCCUUUUCAGAUUGUCACCUAAGAAAUUAUUUCUAGGAUGAAUCUGUAAAUCAAUUAAAUGGAAUACUUUGGACAAUGUCAGCUUCCUACAAUAAUAUGUGUACAGUUUUAAAAGAUUUUGUCACUGUAACAACUUUACGAGAGAAAAAUAUAUUUACCUCUGCAAUGUUUUCUAUUUGUGCAGUUCUGAAUAUCUGGGUUUUUUUGGUCCCACACUUUAGCAUUUCUAAUUUCCCCAUGAAUCUUCUGUUUCAUGAUGUCCAAGACUGAGCACCAAGAUGUUUCCUAUUACCAUCCGAGUAGCAGUUGCAUCUGGACAGUUUUCCUUAUCUCCUGUUAACGGGCCCAUCAAUGUCUUGCCACAUGACUCAGAGAUAACACUCUCCAGGAGCCAGUUCUGUUUAACAGGUGAUUAAGAACACACCUGUGACUCAGAAUAACAUCAGCCUAUUGUGAGAUGCUCCACCCAGGGAGAGAAGCUAGGCAUUCCCACCUGGAUAAAUCCAGGGAUUUCUAGACAGAAAAGCAGCCUUUCCACAGGUUUCCGAGUAGACACAGCAACCACAUCUGCCACUCCAAUUUGGACUGCUACCAGCACACUGGCCAAAGGAGUGUCAGGUUGUAUUCUGACUUUGUCAGUGGUCUUCCUUUUGUAUCAUUGCAUGUAUUUUUGUCUUCUUUUUUUUUUUCUUUUCCUAAUAAAUUGUAUUUCUGA